This 942-nucleotide long non-coding RNA is filed under the name Chrysemys picta bellii (western painted turtle). RNAcentral describes it as "lncRNA (ENSCPBG00000025381.1)". Lineage: Eukaryota; Metazoa; Chordata; Testudines; Emydidae. The record is from RNAcentral.
UAUGAGAGCUUUGUGGGACACCACCUCUUGGCUUCCAUUGAACACAGACUGAAUUAAGUGCUCUCAAAGCAAAGAUGUUAACCGAGAACCGGCUUAAGAAAAAUCAUGCAGGAAAACCAGGCAGAUGUGGAUGAAAACCAGGCUUACAAGGGCUUCAGACAGUUUGUUUCUAAUGGGCCAAAGCCAACAACAACCAAGUGUCCCAUCUGACCCUAUGCACAACUCCUUUCAAAGGAACACUACGAAGAGAAAUAGAUUUCUGCUUAAUGCUCCAGGGCUAGUGCUUGAGGAAGUUUACUGCUCCUACAAACAUGUAUACGUCUCUGCCAAAGUGUUUCCAGCCCAUGGAGUUCUUGAGAUGCUGGAUCUCAAAAGGUGGGUGUCCUCUAACUCAGUGUUUUUCAACUACUGGUCCAUAGACCAGCGCCACUCCCUGAAAUCUCCCUGACACAGUUUAGGAAGGCAGCAAGGUUCCUUGUAUCAAAAAGGUUGAGAAACACUGCUAACUUACAAAGUUCUUUGUUCAUGAAUGUUAGCUUCUCAAUAGUUACAAAAAACUUAAAUAAUAGGGAUCUGUGCCAUGGUUCUAUUUACCAGGAGAGGUCCUGAUUCUCCAUUGCCUUGAACCUUUGGGUUGUCAGGUACAUCAUGCAAAGUGAGUAUAAAACGCUAUCAGUCUGAGUUGUUAAAAAUUUGAACAAGUGUUAGUGAUGAUACAAGAGUGCAAGGAAGUGGAGAAUCAUAGAUGUUAAGGUCAGGAGGGACCACUGUGAUUAUCUAGUCUGAUCUGAAUAAUACCAGCCAUAGAAUUUUGCCCAGCAAUUCGUACAAAUGGGUAAUUACUGGCUGAGCUAUAGCAUAUCUUUUAAAAAAAUAUCCAGUCAUGAAAUUGGGUCUAAGGCUUCUUGAAUCACUUAAUGUUGUCAUGAGGAAUGCCUGUUU